RNAcentral lists this transfer RNA (78 nucleotides) under Streptomyces sp. H39-S7. RNAcentral's name for it is "tRNA-Ile". It matches the Rfam family "tRNA". Rfam says of the family: Transfer RNA (tRNA) molecules are approximately 80 nucleotides in length. The record is from RNAcentral. Lineage: Bacteria; Bacillati; Actinomycetota; Actinomycetes; Kitasatosporales; Streptomycetaceae.
UUGCCUGUAGCUCAGUCUGGUUAGAGCACGCGCCUGAUACGCGCGGUGUCACCGGUUCAAGUCCGGUCAGGCAAACCA